CCUACGGGAGGCAGCAGUGGGGAAUAUUGGGCAAUGGACGCAAGUCUGACCCAGCAACGCCGCGUGAAGGAAGAAGGCUUUCGGGUUGUAAACCUCUUUUAAUGGGGAAGAGCAGCAGACCGUACGCCUUGCAUAAGCUACGGCUAACUACGUGCCAGCAGCCGCGGUAAUACGUAGGUGGCAAGCGUUGUCCGGAUUUACUGGGUGUAAAGGGCGUGCAGCCGGAGAGACAAGUCAGGUGUGAAAUACACGGGCUCAACCCGUGAACUGCAUUUGAAACUGGUUGCCUUGAGUGUCGGAGAGGUAAUCGGAAUUCCUUGUGUAGCGGUGAAAUGCGUAGAUAUAAGGAAGAACACCGGUGGCGAAGGCGGAUUACUGGACGGUAACUGACGGUGAGGCGCGAAAGCGUGGGGAGCAAACAGGAUUAGAUACCCUAGUAGUC
Molecule: ribosomal RNA, 442 nt
Filed under: uncultured bacterium
Lineage: Bacteria
Description: partial 16S ribosomal RNA
Rfam family: Bacterial small subunit ribosomal RNA
Source: RNAcentral